RNAcentral lists this ribosomal RNA (459 nucleotides) under uncultured bacterium. Its description in RNAcentral is "partial 16S ribosomal RNA". It matches the Rfam family "Bacterial small subunit ribosomal RNA", at positions 338 to 795 of the family's 1533-position model. The record is from RNAcentral.
CCUACGGGAGGCAGCAGUGAGGAAUAUUGGUCAAUGGUCGGGAGACUGAACCAGCCAAGCCGCGUGAGGGAUGAAGGUACAGAGUAUCGUAAACCUCUUUUGUCAGGGAACAAAGGCGGGGACGUGUCCCCGGAUGAGUGUACCUGAAGAAAAAGCAUCGGCUAACUCCGUGCCAGCAGCCGCGGUAAUACGGAGGAUGCGAGCGUUAUCCGGAUUUAUUGGGUUUAAUGGGUGCGCAGGCGGUCUGUUAAGUCAGCGGUAAAAGCCCGGGGCCAAACCCCGGCCUGCCGUUGAAACUGGCAGUCUCGAGUUGGAGAGAGGUAUGCGGAAUGCGCGGUGUAGCGGUGAAAUGCAUAGAUAUCGCGCAGAACUCCGAUUGCGAAGGCAGCAUGCCGGCUCCACACUGACGCUGAGGCACGAAAGCGUGGGUAUCGAACAGGAUUAGAUACCCGAGUAGUC